RNAcentral lists this transfer RNA (68 nucleotides) under uncultured Salibacter sp. It matches the Rfam family "tRNA". From Rfam's summary of the family: Transfer RNA (tRNA) molecules are approximately 80 nucleotides in length. The record is from RNAcentral. RNAcentral also lists the same sequence under 1 other name. Lineage: Bacteria; Pseudomonadati; Bacteroidota; Flavobacteriia; Flavobacteriales; Salibacteraceae.
GAAAGUAGCUCAGCUGGUAGAGCAUCACCUUGCCAAGGUGAGGGUCGCGGGUUCGAAUCCCGUCUUUC